UACGAAGGGGGCUAGCGUUGUUCGGAUUUACUGGGCGUAAAGCGCACGUAGGCGGAUCGUUAAGUCGGGGGUGAAAUCCUGGAGCUCAACUCCAGAACUGCCUUCGAUACUGGCGAUCUAGAGUCCGGAAGAGGUGAGUGGAACUCCUAGUGUAGAGGUGGAAUUCGUAGAUAUUAGGAAGAACACCAGCGGCGAAGGCGGCUCACUGGUCCGGUACUGACGCUGAGGUGCGAAAGCGUGGGGAGCAAACAGG
Molecule: ribosomal RNA, 253 nt
Filed under: uncultured bacterium
Lineage: Bacteria
Description: partial 16S ribosomal RNA
Rfam family: Bacterial small subunit ribosomal RNA
Source: RNAcentral